Molecule: telomerase RNA, 1129 nt
Filed under: Pestalotiopsis fici W106-1
Lineage: Eukaryota; Fungi; Ascomycota; Sordariomycetes; Amphisphaeriales; Sporocadaceae
Description: Ascomycota telomerase RNA
Rfam family: Ascomycota telomerase RNA
Source: Rfam by way of RNAcentral
UGCACCUUCGCCUUCCCAACAGUUCUCCGAUUCUCGUUUUCCGAAAGGAAUGUCCAACGGACCCCAUGGCCGGGCCUUAUCAACUCCCGUCUGGCACGUCGCAGCUCAAGGUCCGUAGCAGUCCUAACGUGCUCGCCGCGUGUGGUUUGCCAGGCGAGGAGAACCGGCCGAUGGGAACGGUGUUUCGGAACUUAACCCUAAGCUAUCACUUGGUUCAAGUCUUGCGCUCAUAGUCGCCCAACUUUGCCUUCUAAGCUGUCGGAACGCUUCGUUAUGCCGUGCGCUGCUGAAAAGCAGUGUGCGCCGAGCGGGCCUCCGCAUGGUGGAAGGGCAAUGGGGCAUUCCAGUCGCCGUCAGGCGAGUGAGGGCUUGUGCUAUGAGUUUAAUGUAAGAGCCCCUGGUCUGGUGGCCGCUCGUCAGCAUAAUGCCGCUGGAAGUGUACUCUGGCCGUCAUGGAUCGUUUUGGCGAAGUGAGCCGCAUGUCUACUGAGGAGAUGUCCUUCUGAACAUGAUUGCCUGUCUGGAUAUUUGUUGGCUACUCUGCCACACGUGCGCCCAGAGAUUCGAAGGAGAGCUUAGCACAGGCUACAAACAGAACUAGGCUGCCGAGACUUCUACUUCUUCAUCACCGAUGGUUCCUUCGCCAGAAUUGCUCGAUAGAGUAAGCGAGUGCCAUUCGGCUACCACAGAAGACUCAUCAUUGGCCUACUUCAUCGAUUGCCUUGCUAUCCGCUUUCAGUACCUUCGAAUCCAUUGCCACGAUCCUACAGCUUGAGCGAUCGGCAUGAAACCCGAUCUGCUUUGCAUCGCAUUUCAGACUCAUCCACCCCUAGCAGCAUCAGUUCGCAGACCGAAACCACAUCAUGAUUCUCUCAUUGAUGUGUCACUUGUGUGAUCCGGCCAGGCGCAUCAACCGGGAGUCAUUGAUAGAAUCAACGGCAACUGGGCGCCAAAACCUCGGCGAUUUGCUUCACAGCAAUCGACCACUUCCCUCUGCCUGUGUAAUAUCAGGCCAGAGACGACAGCAUGGUUUUUAUGAACGUCUUUUGUCCAUGCGAAAUGCCCUCCUUGCUGCUCUCUGGAGCUCGAUGGAGAGGAAACCAAAAAUCCAGUUCUUGUUGGCAGUGCA